GCCGAUAGGGCUGCAAAUGCAGGCCACUUUGAUAUAGUGGUAUCUGAGGUUAAUCCUCCGUCGGUA
This 66-nucleotide transfer RNA is filed under the name Capsala katsuwoni. RNAcentral's name for it is "tRNA-Ile". Lineage: Eukaryota; Metazoa; Platyhelminthes; Monogenea; Capsalidea; Capsalidae. The record is from RNAcentral.